GACGAACGCUGGCGGCGUGCUUAACACAUGCAAGUCGAGCGGAGCGGCGCACGGGUGAGUAACGCGUGAGUAACUGCCCCCCUCUCUGGGAUAACAGUUGGAAACGGCUGCUAAUACCGGAUAGUGGGGGAUGACUGUCGUCCUCUCAGCUUGUUGGUGGGGUAGUGGCCUACCAAGUCGACGACGCGUAGCCGGCCUGAGAGGGCGACCGGCCACAUUGUGCACAGAUACGGCCCAAUCUGCUACGGGAGGCAGCAGGGGGGAAUAAUGCACAAUGGGGGAAACCCUGAUGCAGCAACGCCGCGGGCGGGAUGACGGCCUUCGGGUUGUAAACCGCUUGCAGCCAUGACGCGGUAGUGGCAGAAGAAGCACCGGCUAACUACGUUCCAGCAGCCGCGGUAAUUC
Molecule: ribosomal RNA, 405 nt
Filed under: uncultured bacterium
Lineage: Bacteria
Description: partial 16S ribosomal RNA
Rfam family: Bacterial small subunit ribosomal RNA
Source: RNAcentral